Molecule: transfer RNA, 72 nt
Filed under: Bacteroidota bacterium
Lineage: Bacteria; Pseudomonadati; Bacteroidota
Description: tRNA-Ala
Rfam family: tRNA
About the family: Transfer RNA (tRNA) molecules are approximately 80 nucleotides in length.
Source: RNAcentral
GGGGCUAUAGCUUAGCUGGGAGAGCAUCCCGUUCGCAUCGGGAAGACCGGAGUUCGAUUCUCCGUAGCUCCA